UUAUUUAUACUUUUUUAAGUAAAGGAAGCUUUUAUUGAUAUUAGAUGAUCAUAUUAAGAUGAUACAAUCACUCGAAGAUCACUUCCGGCCUUCGCAUAACUAAGAUAAACAAAGUCGAAAACUAGACACAAAAGUUAUCAAUUGUUACAAAAUAGAGCUAAUAAGAAAUCCUCAAUCUAGACUGCCACCUAUAAUCUUGGGUAAAAAACUCGUGACCACCAGUUCCAACUACUGAGACACCAUAAGCAUUGUAUUUUGGGAUCUAGGCUUCUAGAGAAUAGCCCAUGUACGGAGCCAGUGAAUAAUUCUAAAAAUAACCUGUAAAGGAGAAGAAAUUAUCUUUUUGUCAAACGCUAUCUCAUUUCUGCAUAACUAUAAUGUAGCAAGAUAAGUGACUUUAUAUCUUU
RNAcentral lists this long non-coding RNA (407 nucleotides) under Oryza brachyantha (malo sina). RNAcentral describes it as "long non-coding RNA (OBRA_LNC002939)". Lineage: Eukaryota; Viridiplantae; Streptophyta; Magnoliopsida; Poales; Poaceae. The record is from RNAcentral.